CUCAGAAAGGACUGUGUGACCCUAGUCUUUCUCUGGCUUCCUGUUCAAAGUGUGAUCUCUUCCUUCCAUAUGUGCUUCUGACAUCUGCCAUGAGGUCCUCACUAUACCAAGCCAAAGUGUUGUGACACCCUUGAAUGUCCAGAAGGCAUUAUUCACAGAAGCCAAGAUACGGAAGCAACCGAGGCAUCUGUCAACAAAUGAAUGGUGAAAGAAAAUGUGGUAUACACACAAUGGAAUAUUAUUCAGUCAUAAAGACAUGGAAAUCCUGCCAUUUGGAACAAGCUGGAUAAACCUGGAGGACACUAUGCCAGAUAAAUGUUAACUAAGAAAUGAGAUCUAAUGCUAUGUUCAAAGAAGGCAGUCUUCGGUCUUCUGGUUCUCCUGUUCCAGCCCUGCAAAAGGACUCAGCAGAAUACAAGGUUCCUGGACUACAUUAAGUUGUGCUUUCACUGGCUGAAGGUUUACAUUGUGACUUCUCCUGCAUUUUUUUUUAAUUCUGAGGAAAUAUUGUCCUGCACAAGGAUCCUCAAGCCUUAGAGAAAACUAG
Molecule: long non-coding RNA, 547 nt
Organism: Heterocephalus glaber (naked mole-rat)
Lineage: Eukaryota; Metazoa; Chordata; Mammalia; Rodentia; Bathyergidae
Source: Ensembl